GAGUUUGAUCAUGGCUCAGAACGACGCUGGCGGCAGGCUUAACACAUGCAAGUCGAACGGGUGCAGCAAUGCAUCAGUGGCAGACGGGUGAGUAACACGUGGGAACCUUCCUAGGGGUACGGAACAACUCAGGGAAACUUGAGCUAAUACCGUAUACGUCCGUGAGGAGAAAGAUUCAUCGCCCUUAGACGGGCCCGCGUCGGAUUAGCUAGUUGGUGGGGUAACGGCCUACCAAGGCGACGAUCCGUAGCUGAUCUUAGAGGAUGAUCAGCCACACUGGGACUGAGACACGGCCCAGACUCCUACGGGAGGCAGCAGUGGGGAAUCUUGGACAAUGGCGCAAGCCUGAUCCAGCCAUGCCGCGUGAGUGAAGAAGGUCUUCGGAUUGUAAAGCUCUUUGCCAGGGGCGAUAAUGACGGUACCUGGAGAAUAAGCCCCGGCAAACUUCGUG
This 451-nucleotide ribosomal RNA is filed under the name uncultured bacterium. RNAcentral describes it as "bacterial SSU rRNA". It matches the Rfam family "Bacterial small subunit ribosomal RNA", at positions 9 to 507 of the family's 1533-position model. The record is from RNAcentral.